UUCGUUAGUAGGAUAUUUAUAUCCCUAUGGAACAGAGUAACUCCAUCGACGGAUUGUAUAACAAAGCAGCACAGACUUUGAAUUCUCAUUCGCAAGGGUGAUCGAGUUCGGUCAGCGUGUUGCGGCGGUAUAUUCCUAAACCUUCGAACUGGUCGUUGACCGAUGGUCGUUGGGUAAAACCAUACUGCAAACAUUU
RNAcentral lists this small nucleolar RNA (196 nucleotides) under Komagataella phaffii GS115. Its description in RNAcentral is "small nucleolar RNA snR30". The record is from RNAcentral. Lineage: Eukaryota; Fungi; Ascomycota; Pichiomycetes; Pichiales; Pichiaceae.